UGGGGUGUGACUCAGAGGAAGAGCCUGUGCUGAGCACACACAAGGUCCUGGGUUCCAUCCCCAGCACCACAA
RNAcentral lists this transfer RNA (72 nucleotides) under Marmota monax (woodchuck). Its description in RNAcentral is "tRNA.Ala". Lineage: Eukaryota; Metazoa; Chordata; Mammalia; Rodentia; Sciuridae. The record is from RNAcentral.